This 646-nucleotide ribosomal RNA is filed under the name uncultured Bacteroides sp. RNAcentral's name for it is "bacterial SSU rRNA". It matches the Rfam family "Bacterial small subunit ribosomal RNA", at positions 74 to 715 of the family's 1533-position model. The record is from RNAcentral. Lineage: Bacteria; Pseudomonadati; Bacteroidota; Bacteroidia; Bacteroidales; Bacteroidaceae.
CUUAGCUUGCUAAGUUUGAUGGCGACCGGCGCACGGGUGAGUAACACGUAUCCAACUUGCCGAUGACUCGGGGAUAGCCUUUCGAAAGAAAGAUUACUUCCCGAUGGCAUAGUUCUUCCGCAUGGUGGAACUAUUAAAGAAUUUCGGUCAUCGAUGGGGAUGCGUUCCAUUAGGCAGUUGGCGGGGUAACGGCCCACCAAACCUACGAUGGAUAGGGGUUCUGAGAGGAAGGUCCCCCACAUUGGAACUGAGACACGGUCCAAACUCCUACGGGAGGCAGCAGUGAGGAAUAUUGGUCAAUGGACGAGAGUCUGAACCAGCCAAGUAGCGUGAAGGAUGACUGCCCUAUGGGUUGUAAACUUCUUUUAUACGGGAAUAAAGUGAGCCACGUGUGGCUUUUUGUAUGUACCGUAUGAAUAAGGAUCGGCUAACUCCGUGCCAGCAGCCGCGGUAAUACGGAGGAUCCGAGCGUUAUCCGGAUUUAUUGGGUUUAAAGGGAGCGUAGGCGGGUUGUUAAGUCAGUUGUGAAAGUUUGCGGCUCAACCGUAAAAUUGCAGUUGAUACUGGCGACCUUGAGUGCAACAGAGGUAGGCGGAAUUCGUGGUGUAGCGGUGAAAUGCUUAGAUAUCACGAAGAACUCCGAUUG